ACGCUGGCGGCGUGCUUUAUGCAUGCAAGUCGAACGGUCUCGAUUUAUCGAGAUAGUGGCGAACGGGUGAGUAACGCGUAAGUAACCUGCCCCUAAGUAAGGAAUAACUCUGGGAAAUUAGAGCUAAUACUAUAUGUGGUGGUGGAGGUAAUGCUUCAUCACUAAAGCUUUAGGGCGCUUAGGGAGGGGCUUGCGUCCGAUUAGCUAGUUGGUAGAGUAAUGGUUUACCAAGGCGAUGAUCGGUAGCUGGUUUGAGAGGACAUCCAGCCACACUGGGAUUGAGAUACGGCCCAGACUCCUACGGGAGGCAGCAGCAAGGAAUUUUGUGCAAUGGGCGAAAGCCUGACACAGUGACGCCGUGUGGGGGAUGAAGGCUUUCGGGUUGUAAACCCCUUUUCUCAGGGAAGAAUAAUGACGGUACCUGAGGAAUAAGUCGUGGCUAACUACGUGCCAGCAGCCGCGGUAAUACGUAGGCGGCGAGCGUUAUCCGGAUUUACUGGGCGUAAAGAGGGUGUAGGCGGUUUUUCAAGUCGAUUGUAAAAUCUCCCGGCUUAACUGGGAGGGGCCAGUCGAUACUGUUAAACUAGAGGGCAGCAGGGGGAGGUGGAAUUCCCGGUGUAGUGGUGAAAUGUGUAGAUAUCGGGAGGAACACCAGUGGCGAAGGCGGCCUCCUAGGCUGUUUCUAACGCUAGAGACCCGAAAGCGUGGGGAGCAAACAGGAUCAGACACCCUGGUAGUCCACGCUGUAAUCGAUGGACACUAGGUAUAGGGAGUAUCGACCCUCUCUGUGCCGAAGCUAACGCACUUAUAAGUUUCCCGCCUGGGGACUACGCCGCAAGGCUAAAACUCA
This 850-nucleotide ribosomal RNA is filed under the name uncultured bacterium. Its description in RNAcentral is "bacterial SSU rRNA". It matches the Rfam family "Bacterial small subunit ribosomal RNA", at positions 33 to 903 of the family's 1533-position model. The record is from RNAcentral.